CAGCCGCCGCGGUAAUACGGAGGGUGCAAGCGUUAAUCGGAAUUACUGGGCGUAAAGCGUGCGCAGGCGGUUGUAUAAGACAGAUGUGAAAUCCCCGGGCUUAACCUGGGAACUGCAUUUGUGACUGUCUAGCUAGAGUAUGGCAGAGGGGGGUGGAAUUCGGCGUGUAGCAGUGAAAUGCGUAGAUAUGCGGAGGAACACCGAUGGCGAAGGCAGUCCCCUGGGCCAAUACUGACGCUCAUGCACGAAAGCGUGGGGAGCAAACAGGAUUAGAUACCCCAGUAGUCCCUGUCUCUUAUAC
This 301-nucleotide ribosomal RNA is filed under the name uncultured bacterium. RNAcentral's name for it is "partial 16S ribosomal RNA". It matches the Rfam family "Bacterial small subunit ribosomal RNA", at positions 509 to 807 of the family's 1533-position model. The record is from RNAcentral.